This 439-nucleotide ribosomal RNA is filed under the name uncultured bacterium. RNAcentral's name for it is "partial 16S ribosomal RNA". It matches the Rfam family "Bacterial small subunit ribosomal RNA", at positions 339 to 795 of the family's 1533-position model. The record is from RNAcentral.
CUACGGGCUGCACCAGUGGGGAAUCUUGGACAAUGGGCGCAAGCCUGAUCCAGCCAUGCCGCGUGAGUGAUGAAGGCCUUAGGGUCGUAAAGCUCUUUCGCCAGAGAUGAUAAUGACAGUAUCUGGUAAAGAAACCCCGGCUAACUCCGUGCCAGCAGCCGCGGUAAUACGGAGGGGGUUAGCGUUGUUCGGAAUUACUGGGCGUAAAGCGCGCGUAGGCGGACUAGUCAGUCAGGGGUGAAAUCCCGGGGCUCACCCCCGGAACUGCCUUUGAUACUGCUAGUCUAGAGUUCGAGAGAGGUGAGUGGAAUUCCGAGUGUAGAGGUGAGAUUCGUAGAUAUUCGGAGGAACACCAGUGGCGAAGGCGGCUCACUGGCUCGAUACUGACGCUGAGGUGCGAAAGUGUGGGGAGCAAACAGGAUUAGAUACCCGAGUAGUC